GAUAUUUCCAAUAAACAUCAAAGGUUCAGCAGGAAGCCUGGUGAUUUUACUCCACAACUGCAGCAAUUGGAUAGUUACAUACACUUUCCAUUUCACGAUGGAAUGGAGCAGAACAGGCACCUGAAACCCCCCACCAUAUAUGCUCGUACUAUUUUCCACUUCUCAAUCCUCUUUAUCUUGCUCUCUAAUUACAAGUCUGUGUUGGCUGCUAUGGCAGGAACAUUUUCUAUAUUCUGGGUCAUUUGCGCUGCCGCUGUCCUGUUCGUUGCAUUUCUGGUGCCGGAGACCAAGGGACGACACUCGAAGAAAUUCAAGUAUCAAUUACAAAGUAUUAAUAAAUUUUAUAACAGAACUCCACAUUUGUCCAAAACCAUGCACAUAUAAAUGCCUUAAUAAAAUGGUGUAUAUGAUCUUGGAGCUGAAUUAUUACAAAAAUGAGAAAAUGGCUAAGACCUUAAAAAGUUGAGAGACAAGGAUUGAAAGAUGAAGAAUAAAGUAGCUGGGAGAAGAAGAAGAAAGUCGAUAAGAGUGGGAAAAUGUGCAGAAUAAGUUUGAUAAUUUAUUGAGUAUUUGUUGCGCAUGUAUGGCGCAUCAUGGCUACAGAAACAUCUCAGUUUAUGAUAAUUAUCAUUUUGUUGUGGAAUUAGUUGGAAAUUAUCCAGACAUACACAUAAAUAAUAAGAAGUUAAAAGGAUCAGGUCAAGAAAAUGGACGCCAACCUUUGUGAGAGUGGUCACCUGCUUCGAAGUUCUCAAUAACUCAUAAUAUAUUUCACUUUCACUGCUUUAGUGCGACUCGAAUCCUCUGCAUCUCCUAAUAUAUUUGACGUCUUUAGUGUGACCCAGUUUAGUACUCUAGUGCAUGACCUGUGAAUUGGCCUUUAUUCAAGGGUACGUCUAUCAGAGCACUCACGGGCCAUGUUGGCAAGUCAAAGCAUUGCCACGAUUUCCUGCCUGUCGCAAAAGGGCAUAAAUAAUUUUUUCGGGCAGUUGCAGUAGUUGUCAUGCGCUUGCUUCGUUCAUUUGCCUUGCUUUCCCUUGAAGAAAUUAAUCAUCAUGGAGAGACCAGAAGAAAGGUUGAAGUUGGAGGAAAGACUAAUUCCAAGUUCUUCACUUGCUGAUGAAAUUGGUGAUGGCAGUGGCAUGCAAGAAAGUGAUUCUUCAGCCACACCUGCUGUUGUUCUCGGCGCUUUGGUGGCCGUACGUGGUUCAUUUGCUUAUGGUUGAUCUGUAUGUACCAUUAUUAUCAUCAUGUUUUUAGUGUUGUUUUAUCUCUCUCUUUUUCAGUUCCUUUUCUUGAUGGCGUGUAUUUAGACAUGUUCAUUAGCUACACUAUAAACGUGAAUAAUUGGAGUGUCUUAGAAUUGUAACUGGGCUGUUACAUUCACAUUCCAUUUCAUGAUGGAAUGGAGCAAAACAGGUAUCCGAUAAUCCCCCAUGCUUAUACAUUUUCCAUUUCGCAAUCCUCUGUCUUCUGUGUUGGCUACUCUGGCAGGAACAUUUUCUAUAUUCUGGGUCAUAUGCGCCGCAGGUGUUGCGUUUGUUACAUUCCUGGUGCCGGCGACCAAGGGACGAACACUUGAAGAAAUACAAGCAUCAAUUACAAAGCUUUCUGGGAGAUAAAUCAAAAUCACUCCACUGCAAGUGUAAUAAUAACCUGGUUUGGUUGGACUGCAAGUGUAAACUCCCCUCACAGGAUGUGCUUGGUGUGACGCCCCGGAUUAGACUGUACUGGACUAAAAUGUACUAAGUUUAAAACGGUACUGGAUUAUAAUAUCUGUUAAAUUUUUUUAAUAAUAAUAGAUUAAUAUUAUUUGUGUACUUUAUAUUCUUAUUACUUAAUAAAAUAUUAUUAUUAUUACUAUUAUUAUUUUGUAUUAUCACCCGGGCUAAUGUUAAUCGCUGACAAUUGCUUUGUUGUCAUAUAAACCAAAGAUAAAUUUGUAGGGUCCAGUGAUCAUUUUAAAAAAAAACAAAAUUUUUGAGGCUUUUUCCUAGCCGCACGAGUUAGUGGGAAAUGGUGGGCCCCGUCAGUUGUCAGUUAAUCUAGGCCCAACCAGUGGACCGGGCCGAAAUCACAGUUAGCCUUUCCUUGGGUUUUCCGUCAUUUCCAUACCAUUGAAACUCAAAGAUUUUUAUUUUAUUUUCUUACCAAGCAGAAAACUGAUUGUUGUUGAAACUUUUUCUCUUCACAUGCACAGCUUGCAUGGAAAGUGACGCCGCAUUGAUUAUUUAUUUAUUUCAAAUACUGAUACGUUGCAAUCAAAAGCCUAAUGAUUCAAGAUAUAUGUCCAAUCUGCAUAAGAUAAGAGUGGGACGGGAAGCCAUACAAAAUCGAUACUACCCACAUGAUGAGUGUUUGGCUUUAGGAUGGUGUUUAUUAACAUGUCUGCAUUGUAACUCGCACUAAUUAGUAUUUCUUCUUUUUAUCAUUUUUUUUUAAAGAUAAGAGAAUAGAUAAAGCUUGAGUGUAUUUUUUAAAAUUACUCGACCGCGUUCCUAGAGACAAUAUAUAUAUAUAUAUAUAUAUAAGAAAAAUUAUCAGUACUUGCUCUUUUAUAUUGAUUACAACACAUGGGCAGGGCCUGAAACAGCCGCGGUGCACAUUUCAACGUACAAAAAAGGGGGACUGGAAGAGAGCAAAUGUACUUGCUGCAGCCAAAGAGAGACCAAGGCCCUCCAUGAUUUCGGAUUCAGCAGGAAUUGAAUGUCCCGCCUAAUUUCAUGCCAAUGGUCAAUACCAACUAUUUCGGAUAAUUAAUUCUUGUAAGUUAACAUGGUUCAGCUGGAAGCCAAUAUAUAUUUUUUUAAUUACUUGAGGUUAUUAGUUAGAGCACAAUUCAUAUUUCGUGAGACUCAGAUAAUUACUGAAAAUAGUAUUUUAUAAAGAGUAAAUUUUCUUUCCAUAUACUCAAUUAUACAAUAUAAUUAAGAAAAGAAUUAUCUCUUGAUUUUUUUUUGAGGGGUUUAAAUUGUGAUGACAAUAACCUUAAUCAUUGGGCCUAAAGUCAAGUGGCUUAUUGUUCCUAGUAAAAUUAAAAUUAAAGUUUUUUUCUAUUAUCAUAAUAUUGAAAAAAAAAAAAUUGUCAGGUGGGCUCUAUGCAGUCGCAUCAUUUCAACUGUUUUUUUUAUAAUUCCAAUAAUGCAGUGUUCUUUCUUUCACUUGCUCCUGUGAAAGAAUUAGGACAUGGAGAAUCCAGAAAGCUUGGAGGAGGGACUAAUAGCAAAGUCUUCACUUGCUCAGCCAAAUCCUAUAAAAAUUACAAAUGAAGUUGGUGAGCGCAGUGGCUUGCCGGAGAGUGACAAUUCUUCAGCUACACCCGUUGUUGUUCUUAGCACCUUGGUAGCCAUAUGUGGUUCAUUUGCUCAUGGCUGUUCUGUAAGUAGCAUACCGUUAUCAUGCAUGCUAGUUACUUUUUUUUGUUUCUUGAUCUUAAAUGUGAAGAAGAAAUGAGUAGAUUACCAUAAAAUUGAGUUUUUUUAUUGAUUUUUAACUGUCUAUCCUACCUACAAUCAUGUGAUUGGUAUUAGGUAAGCUUAGAUGACAGGUCCAGUACUUUGAUGUUAAAUGGUGUGUAUUUGUCAAAUGUUUUUCACUUUCAGCAAACAGUGGAAUAGUGUAUUAUGGUGGCUUACCAACUUGAGCAAAUUGGAUUGUUUCAAAGUUUCAUUCUUGUUUUGAAAUGCAGCUCAAUUAUCAAUUACCAAUCAACAGUUACUUUAAGCCAACGGAAUAGGAUCUUAUGUCAAUAUGUUUAACAUUAACAUAUAUGUUGUUAGUUGGUGACUUUAGAGAAUAGAGAUAAGCAUUAAUCAAAAUUUUCAUCAUCAAAUACAUGAAACGGGUGGACUAUCCUAAUCAUAAAAAAAAAAUAAUCUAUUAUAAUAUAUACUAAAAAUUCAAAUGCUUAUAAAGAUUUCUUCUGCAGCUGUCAUUCCAAUUUCUUAUUUCAUAGUUGUCGAAUGCUUCUUUUUUUCCAUUGCCCCUCUUUCGCUCAAGAAAAAUAAUGAUGGAGACAUCAGAAAGCUUGGAGGAAGGACUAAUUCCGAAUCCUCCACUUCUUGAGCCAACGCCUAUGAUCACCAAUGAAAUUGGUAAUGGCGGGGGCAUGUCUGAAAGUGAUUUUUCUACUACACCUGCUGUUGUUUUCAGCACCUUGGUGGCCAUAUGCGGCUCAUUUACUUAUGGCUGUGCUGUAAGAUCCAUUGCUGUUUUUUUUGCUGUCAGAGCAAGUCAAUACAUUUUUCUUGCAAGAUUAAUCUCUAAAUGCUUGAAGAUAGGAGGCUUUCAGGAGCAGUUUUGAGUGAAAUCACUUUCAUCACAAGCCACUAGUCAAAAUAUUAGUUUUUCAUUGACUGCAAUAGAUUGAUUGAUUGUUGUUUUCAGGUUGGAUAUUCAUCAGCUGCUGAGUCUGGAAUGAGGGCAGACCUGGGACUCUCAGUGACAGAAGUAAGUUGAGCAAGCCCAAGUUAUCCAUGAACACAGAACGCUAAAAUAAAUAAAUAAAUUCAUAUAAACUUUGGCCAGAAUAUGUCACUCUUGAUACACACACGUACACACAACAUCUAUUAUUGUGUAUGCAGAUUCACUUAAUUGAUCAUCACUAUUAUAUGAUCUUAUACAUUUUGAGUCCUAUAAUUGACCAUGGCUUUCCCUUGUUCUUCUAAUUCUGCAGUACUCAGUUUUUGGUUCAGUAUUGACAUUUGGAGGAAUAAUAGGUUCAUUAGUAAAUGGGAAAAUAGCAGACGUCACUGGUCGAAGAGGUGUAAGUCGGUCGAUCUUCCAUUUUAUGUCUCAAUGAAUAGUAUGAAAUUUCUUUUACCCUUCUCAAUAGUAUUUAAUUAACUGCUAGUGCAACAGGCAAUGUGGCUUUCUGAGUUAUUCUGUAUUGUUGGGUGGCUGGCAAUAGCAUUCUCAAAGGUCGUUUUCCUUUAGCUUCUCUGCAUCAUCACAAUCAUGCUUGAUGUGGCUGCCUGCAUGAAAACUGUACUUAGAAUUUUAUUUGGAAUUAAAUGGUCCUUUUCGGGUUCAAGUUGCAUAACAAGCUCUAUCUUCUAUUCCAAUGGUCUGUCAAUAGGCUAUAAUUUACUUCAGUACUUGUUCAUAGGAUGCUUGGUCACUAUAUCUUGGACGAUUUUCUCUUGGGAUUGGACUUGCAAUUAUUGCUUAUGUGGUAAGUGAUGUGAACAAUUUUAUGGUUGCUUAAUUCACGUGUGAGGCAUCUCACAGCAUUUGCCUCAUUGUUCCAAGACAGGUACCAAUAUAUGUCGCAGAAAUAACACCCAAGAACAUCCGGGGAGCAUUUACAGCUACUAAUCAGGUGUAUAUAUAUCUUAAUUAUAAUGAUUAAUAUUACUUGUUUAACUUAUAUUUAAUGAGCAUUUACUUUGUCAUCAACUCUGCAGUUCUUGAAUGCUUCUGGUCUUUCAGUAAUGUAUUUGGUGGGUAUUGUUGUUUCCUGGCGAGCCUUGGCUCUAAUUGGUAGCUUCAGCUUGCCCUUCUUUUGAUUUUAUUUGCUUAAUUGCCAAGCCCUGUAUGAUUUCUGAUGUUUUUUUUUCAUUUAAUUUUCAGCUGCUGUUCCAUGUCUGUUGCAAGUUGUUGGUUUGUUCUUCAUUCCAGAGUCACCAAGAUGGCUGGUGAGUCCAAAUCAAAAGUUCAUAAUCUGUUUUCCUGGUGGUUUUUAAUGUUGCACAAAGCAGAAACUCGAGUCCUCAGCUUUUUGUUUAACCUCUUGUUACUAUGCUUAGCUUUUUUGUUUAAGCUCUUGUUACUAUGAUUGUGAAACUAUGAGCAUAUUAAAGUUAGUAUGUAUAUCUAUUUUCAGGCGAAGAUUGGUAAAGAAAAAGAGCUAGAAGCUACUCUGCAGUGCCUUAGGGGAAAGACUGCAGAUAUUUCUAUGGAAUCUACUGACAUCAGAGUAAAAUUCCAGCUGUAAUAUUUGACUACUCAAUAAGUAGAAAACACAUGAAAUAUCUAUAAAUCUCUGGCACAGAACAACCAAUGAGCAUCCCAUAUUGCAGGAUUACACGCAGACAUUUGAGAAGGACUCGAAAGCUGGGAUUUUUGAUCUGUUUCAGCAGAAAUAUGCUUAUUCACUCUCAGUAAGGCUACUUGUACUUUUUUUUUUAUAUUUGUAAGCCCAUUCUAUAUCGUCUGUCCUAUGAUUUUUACAUUAGAUUAUUUAAUUGGUUUAGGUUGGAGUUGGAUUAAUGGUAUUGCAACCAUUAGCUGGAUCAGCUGCAAUUGCAUAUUAUGCCAGCUACAUAUUUGCAGCAGCUGGUAAAUUAACAACAUUUUGUACUAUUUCAUAGAACUAAUGAAUAUUGAAGGAAAUGACAGUGUGGAUUUUUGUUUGUAAAGAUCUUUUGACAAACAUUGGGAGUAUAUCAAUGGCUAUCAUUCAGGUAAUUGGCCAUAAAUCAAACGUAGGAUUUUUCCAUUUUAUAUACUCAAGAACAUACAAUUUCUUUUACAGCUUCCGGCUAUUGGAGUGUCCAUCCUGCUGACAGAUAGAUUUGGAAGAAGACCGCUUCUUUUGGUACACAUGUCAAAGAAUUAAAUUCAUCCGAAAAUUAAUUAUUCAGUAGGAUGGCCAAGUAUGUGUGUGUUUGUGUGUGUAUAUAUAUGUUCAUAUAUUUGCAGGCUUCUACUAUCGGGAUGGGCUUAGGUCUCACUAUUAUAGCUUUGGCAUUCGGCUUGCAGGUUCUUCUCUUACAAAAGUUUAGAACUUCUUCACUAGUUCUCACUUCUGUUUGAAAUAUUUUGAUCAUUGCUUAAAAUAUUUAUGUGCAGGACACCCAUCUUUGGAAUGAGGCUACUCCAGUCCUUGUGUACAUUGGCAUAAUGGUAAUCGUCUCUAUGUAUUGUGAGCUUACGGUAGAGGAUUCUCUACAAAGAUUUUUUCUAUAUAUAUGUAUAUAUAUAUAUAUUUUGUAUAGUCUAUCUAAUUGGUGCAAAAUAUGACUGAAUCUAUGAUCAGGGGUUCAGCAUAGCUUAUUCAUUAGGCAUGGCAGGAUUACCAAGUGUCAUAAUGUCAGAGGUAAAUGACUACGUGAUCUAGCUCUACAUCUUUUCGUGAAUGUUUCAACAGGAGUCGAUAAAUAUGCCAUUGAACUUCCAUUUUUCAGAUAUUUCCUAUAAACAUCAAAGGUUCAGCAGGAAGCCUGGUGAUUUUACUCCACAACUGCAGCAAUUGGAUAGUUACAUACACUUUCCACUUCAUGAUGGAAUGGAGCAGAACAGGUAUCUGAAACCCCAACAUCACCUAUAUACUCAUACUAUUUCCCACUUCACAAUCCUCUUUAUCUUGCUCUCUAAUUACAAGUCUGUGUUGGCUGCUGUUGCAGGAACAUUUUCUAUAUUCUGGGUCAUUUGCGCCGCAGCCGUUGCAUUCGCUGCAUUUCUGGUGCCAGAGACCAAGGGACGAACACUCGAAGAAAUUCAAAUAUCAAUUACAAAGUUAUAAUAAAUUUUAUUACGGGACUCCACAU
RNAcentral lists this long non-coding RNA (7490 nucleotides) under Citrus x clementina. Its description in RNAcentral is "Citrus clementina (C. clementina) long non-coding RNA (CCLE_LNC002955)". The record is from RNAcentral. Lineage: Eukaryota; Viridiplantae; Streptophyta; Magnoliopsida; Sapindales; Rutaceae.